AUGGGGCACGGCCGCACGGCCGCACGCAGCGAGCCAGCGAGCGGUCUCCGGACGCCAUUGCUGACGGUUGCAGAAGCUCCCCGUGCGACGAGAAAUUUCCAUGCGUCCAAUUUCCCCGGACCGUGGAGGCGUUGAAUCGUGCGUGAGCCAUUACGUAGCGUCGACAACCCCCACUCAGCUGCCCGCCGUCCCAUCGCCGUCGAAGAGAUCCCCGCCUCUGACUUUCUUGUUUCACUCAGCAUCGUCCCGCACGGGUGGAGAAACUGAAACACCAUCCCAACCAAUCCGGAACCUGAUUCGGUGGUCACCUCCAAUUUCAUCAGUACCGAAUCCCAGGGCCAAUAAGAAUCGCUCCUUUUAAGUUCUCUCCGAGCUUAAUCUGAUCGUGCUGCUCGGGCUCCGAACUUGAGAUUGCGAUUUGAGGAGUUGCGGGAGGGAGAUGGCGCAGAGCAAGGAGGAGUUCUUGGAGCAGUUCGGCGGGGACUACGGCUACCCGGACGCUCCCAGGGGCAUCGACGAGCUGCGCGCCGCCGAUUUCAAGCGGCUGGAAGGGAUGGUUUACCUGGACCAUGCCGGUGCAACACUCUACUCAGAGGCACAGAUGGCGGAUGUUGCCAAAGACCUUAUGUCGAAUGUCUACGGAAAUCCCCAUAGCCAGAGCGAUUCAAGCAUGGCUACAAGCGACCUUGUCACUUCUAUGCGACAUCUGGUCCUAAAAUACUUCAAUGCAUCUCCAAGGGACUAUAAAUGUAUAUUUACCUCCGGGGCCACAGCAGCUCUGAAACUUGUCGGCGAAUGUUUUCCAUGGAGUGGAGAUAGCUGCUACAUGUACACAAUGGAAAAUCAUAAUAGUGUGCUUGGGAUAAGAGAGUAUGCUCUGAGCAAAGGAGCUACUGUAUCAGCAGUUGAUAUUGAAGAGGUUGUUGAUCCAUCAAAGAACCAGGGAUGUGAUAGUUUGUUUAAGAUUUCAAAACGCUCAAACCAAAGAAGAGGUGACGAUGUGCUUUUGCAUAAUUAUCAGAAUGGAAGCCUGACAGCUAUUUCAGGUAAGCACCUUAAAGGAAACAAUUUAAAUCUAUUUGCAUUCCCUUCAGAGUGCAAUUUCUCAGGGCAUAAGUUCAACCUCAGCUUGGUCAAGCUCAUCAAGGAAGGGAAAUUCAUCGGUACAUCACAGCAACAGGGCCGCUGGAUGGUUUUGAUAGAUGCUGCAAAAGGAUGUACAACUGAACCACCAAACUUAACUGUGUAUCCUGCUGAUUUUGUUGUCUGUUCAUUCUACAAGAUAUUUGGCUAUCCAACUGGUCUUGGUGCCUUAAUUGUAAAAAAUGAGGCUGCUGGUUUACUGAACAAGACGUACUUCAGUGGAGGAACGGUGGCUGCUUCAAUUGCUGACAUUGACUAUGUUCAGAAAAGAAAGAGCAUUGAAAAUGUUCUUGAGGAUGGAACAAUCUCAUUCUUGAGCAUAUCCUCUCUUCGAUAUGGGUUUAAGAUAAUCGACAUGCUAACUAUUUCAGCUAUUGCAAGGCAUACUGCAUCUCUUGCUACUUAUGUGAGAAGGAAAAUGAUGGACUUGAAGCACAGCAAUGAGAAAAAUGUUUGCAUAAUCUACGGACAACAAGCUUCUAAGGUGAAAGAUCUGAAGAUGGGUCCUACAAUCACAUUCAAUUUGAAAAGAGAAGAUUGCACCUGGUUUGGAUACCGCGAAGUGGAGAAGCUUGCUUGCUUGUCAGGAAUUCAUCUGCGUACAGGCUGCUUCUGUAACCCUGGUGCAUGUGCUAAGUACCUUGGCUUGUCACACUCAGAUCUAGUUUCUAAUUUUGAGGCUGGGCAUGUUUGCUGGGAUGAUAAUGACAUAAUAAACGGAAGACCAACUGGUGCUGUGAGGAUAUCAUUUGGCUACAUGUCCACAUAUGAAGAUGCAGAGGAAUUUCUUAAGUUUCUGCAGUCAUCUUUUGUGUCCAAAGCUGUAGGAUUGAACAAUGGCUACAUGGUGAAUAUGGAUACUCUUCAUUUAGUAGAUGAUUGGAGCCAACAAGCUACUUCAGAUAUCCGCUUAAAAUCCAUAACUAUAUAUCCUGUGAAAUCUUGCCAAGGAUUUAGUGUGCAGGGUUGGCCACUGACAACUGGUGGUUUAAAAUAUGAUAGAGAAUGGCUUCUCCAAGGAUCAGGUGGUGAAAUUUUGACACAGAAAAAGGUGCCAGAGUUGAGUUCUAUCCGCACAUUGAUUGACCUGGAACUUGGGAAACUCUUCUUAGAGUCUCCAAAGCGCAAGGAUAAAUUGCAAAUAUCUGUUCUAGAGAAUUUGACUCAUAUAAGUGCAGAAGUAGAUGUUUAUGGUCAAAGGUAUGAGGUGCAAACUUACGGUGACAAGGUAAACUCCUGGUUCAGUGAUGCUAUUGGACGUCCUUGUACCUUUAUGAGAUGCACAAGCUCCAAGCACCGUUCCUGCACAAUUAACGGCAGGAGAGAUCGCCUAUGUAGAGAUACUCGAAGCAAACUUAGUUUUGUCAACGAAGGACAGCUGCUACUUGUUUCCGAAGAGAGCAUAUCUGAUCUCAACAGCCGGUUAAGUUCAGGUAAUGUAAAUGGUAAGCAACAGAUGUUUGUUGACGCAAUGAGGUUUCGUCCAAAUAUUGUUGUCUCUGGGUCUGCAUCAUACGAUGAGGAUAACUGGAAAAGGCUUAACAUUGGGAAGGCGUAUUUUACUAGGCACACUAGACAUUGACGAUUCGCUGAUGUAUUAUGUACAAUGCACACUAAUUCUACUUUUGUCAAUAGUGAAAAUGUAAAAGGUCUAUGGGAGGAUGCAACCGUUGUCAAAUGAUCAACCUAUAUCAGAGCUCAGGGCAGGUGAUCAAGUCAAAAGAACCACUGGCAACUUUAGCAUCAUAUAGACGACAAAAGGGUAAAAUUUUGUUUGGCAUCCUGCUGAACUAUGAAGACAGUAUGUAUGAAGAAGAUGAUGCCGUUGUAGAGAGAUGGAUUAAAGUAGGGCAAGAGGUGUAUCCUUCUACAGAAUGACGUGGGCAGAGAUUAGCACAAAGGUUUCACUUGCACAAGAAGCGGAAUGGUAUAGGCAUUCGGAAUGUAUAGAGUUCUUUUAAAAAAAAGAAUGUAUAGAGACUCUCAGGUAUACCAUGUAUGUAAUAAUUUCCUUUUUUUUCAUGCCUGUAUGUAACACAAAAGGGCUUGAAGCCUGUGUUCCAAUCCAAAAAAAUAUAGAGGGAAAAUGAAUGAAUAUAAUACGAAAGAAAAAAAUGUAUAUCCAGAAAUGGUUCA
RNA transcript from Panicum virgatum (switchgrass), 3279 nucleotides. It is a transcript of the gene named molybdenum cofactor sulfurase-like, with no coding region annotated. The record is from RefSeq and is a predicted model, not a curated record. The transcript has 23 exons. Lineage: Eukaryota; Viridiplantae; Streptophyta; Magnoliopsida; Poales; Poaceae.